RNAcentral lists this ribosomal RNA (231 nucleotides) under uncultured bacterium. RNAcentral describes it as "partial 16S ribosomal RNA". It matches the Rfam family "Bacterial small subunit ribosomal RNA", at positions 104 to 334 of the family's 1533-position model. The record is from RNAcentral.
CGGGGUGGAGUAAUGUCUGGGAAACUGCCUGAUGGAGGGGGAUAACUACUGGAAACGGUAGCUAAUACCGCAUAACGUCGCAAGACCAAAGUGGGGGGACCUUCGGGCCUCAUGCCAUAAGAUGUGCCCAGAUGGGAUUAGCUAGUAGGUGGGGUAACGGCUCACCUAGGCGACGAUCCCUAGCUGGUCUGAGAGGAUGACCAGCCACACUGGAACUGAGACACGGUCCAG